GCCGGGCAUGGUGGCUCAUGCCUGUAAUCCCAGCACUUUGGGAGGCUGAGGCAGGUGGAUCAUUUGAGGUCAGGAGUUUGAGACCAGCCUGACCAACACGGUGAAACCCUGUCUCUA
This 117-nucleotide non-coding RNA is filed under the name Nomascus leucogenys (northern white-cheeked gibbon). The record is from Rfam by way of RNAcentral. Lineage: Eukaryota; Metazoa; Chordata; Mammalia; Primates; Hylobatidae.